UACAGAGGUGGCAAGCGUUGUUCGGAAUUACUGGGCGUAAAGCGCACGUAGGCGGCCUGUUAUGUCGGAUGUGAAAGCCCUUGGCUUAACUGAGGAAGUGCAUCCGAAACUGGCAGGCUAGAGUACUAAAGAGGGUCGCGGAAUUCCCGGUGUAGAGGUGAAAUUCGUAGAUAUCGGGAGGAACACCGGUGGCGAAGGCGGCGACCUGGGUAGAUACUGACGCUGAGGUGCGAAAGCGUGGGGAGCAAACAGG
This 253-nucleotide ribosomal RNA is filed under the name uncultured bacterium. Its description in RNAcentral is "partial 16S ribosomal RNA". It matches the Rfam family "Bacterial small subunit ribosomal RNA", at positions 524 to 776 of the family's 1533-position model. The record is from RNAcentral.